This 296-nucleotide long non-coding RNA is filed under the name Brassica napus (rape). RNAcentral's name for it is "long non-coding RNA (BNAP_LNC007450)". Lineage: Eukaryota; Viridiplantae; Streptophyta; Magnoliopsida; Brassicales; Brassicaceae. The record is from RNAcentral.
AGUGUCGCACCAAAUUUGGUGUAAAAUUAUAGUGUGGCACUAAAAUGGUGUGAUUUUUUUUGCAGUUGGAUUGAAGAUGUUUUAGUGUAAAAAUUACAAUAAAAUAGUGUUUUGCAGUUUGGUUGGAGAUGGCCUAAGAAAAUUUUAGUUUCGCAUGAUCAUCCCAUAUAUACUAUUCUUUGCGAAGUAAUAUUUCGCACUCAAACUUUCAAGUUAAAAGUUUAGAGUGGUUAAUGUCGUUUAUAUCUUUAAUAAAUAAAAUGUAUAAAUUAGCUAAAAUUUUAAAACGAAUUUAA